Molecule: non-coding RNA, 197 nt
Organism: Triticum urartu
Lineage: Eukaryota; Viridiplantae; Streptophyta; Magnoliopsida; Poales; Poaceae
Source: Rfam
AUAUCUUUCUCGGCCUGUUGGCUAAGAUCAAGUGUAGUAUCUGUUCUUAUCAGUUUAAUAUCUGAUAGUGAAUCUUCGGAUUCACAUGAUAUUAAUUUAAAUUUUUUGUGGGGAAGGGCCCAUCAUAGUGGCUUGCUGCUAGGGCUCUCAAGCGUUGCUCGGGCUUUGCACUAUAGCCCUUGGCUUACGCACCCCAA